Molecule: ribosomal RNA, 447 nt
Filed under: uncultured bacterium
Lineage: Bacteria
Description: bacterial SSU rRNA
Rfam family: Bacterial small subunit ribosomal RNA
Source: RNAcentral
CGUCCAGACUCCUACGGGAGGCAGCAGUGGGGAAUAUUGCACAAUGGGGGAAACCCUGAUGCAGCGACGCCGCGUGAGUGAAGAAGUAUUUCGGUAUGUAAAGCUCUAUCAGCAGGGAAGAAAAUGACGGUACCUGACUAAGAGGCCCCGGCUAACUACGUGCCAGCAGCCGCGGUAAUACGUAGGGGGCAAGCGUUAUCCGGAUUUACUGGGUGUAAAGGGAGCGUAGACGGCAUGGCAAGUCAGAUGUGAAAGCCCGGGGCUCAACCCCGGGACUGCAUUUGAAACUGUCAGGCUGGAGUGCAGGAGAGGUAAGUGGAAUUCCUAGUGUAGCGGUGAAAUGCGUAGAUAUUAGGAGGAACACCAGUGGCGAAGGCGGCCUGCUGGGCUUUUACUGACGCUGAGGCUCGAAAGUGUGGGGAGCAAACAGGAUUAGAUACCCGGGUA